GAAGGUGGCCUGUGAGGGUUGCUGGAGGUAUCAGAAGUGCGAAUGCUGACAUAAGUAACGAUAAAGCGGGUGAAAAGCCCGCUCGCCGGAAGACCAAGGGUUCCUGUCCAACGUUAAUCGGGGCAGGGUGAGUCGACCCCUAAGGCGAGGCCGAAAGGCGUAGUCGAUGGGAAACGGGUUAAUAUUCCCGUACUUGGUGUUACUGCGAAGGGGGGACGGAGAAGGCUAUGUUGGCCGGGCGACGGUUGUCCCGGUUUAAGCGUGUAGGUGUGUGUUCCAGGUAAAUCCGGUUCACUUUAACACUGAGGCGUGAUGACGAGGCACUACGGUGCUGAAGCAACAAAUGCCCUGCUUCCAGGAAAAGCCUCUAAGCAUCAGGUAACAUCAAAUCGUACCCCAAACCGACACAGGUGGUCAGGUAGAGAAUACCAAGGCGCUUGAGAGAACUCGGGUGAAGGAACUAGGCAAAAUGGUGCCGUAACUUCGGGAGAAGGCACGCUGACAUGUAGGUGAAGUGAUUUACUCAUGGAGCUGAAGUCAGUCGAAGAUACCAGCUGGCUGCAACUGUUUAUUAAAAACACAGCACUGUGCAAACACGAAAGUGGACGUAUACGGUGUGACGCCUGCCCGGUGCCGGAAGGUUAAUUGAUGGGGUCAGCGCAAGCGAAGCUCCUGAUCGAAGCCCCGGUAAACGGCGGCCGUAACUAUAACGGUCCUAAGGUAGCGAAAUUCCUUGUCGGGUAAGUUCCGACCUGCACGAAUGGCGUAAUGAUGGCCAGGCUGUCUCCACCCGAGACUCAGUGAAAUUGAACUCGCUGUGAAGAUGCAGUGUACCCGCGGCAAGACGGAAAGACCCCGUGAACCUUUACUAUAGCUUGACACUGAACAUUGAGCCUUGAUGUGUAGGAUAGGUGGGAGGCUUUGAAGUGUGGACGCCAGUCUGCAUGGAGCCGACCUUGAAAUACCACCCUUUAAUGUUUGAUGUUCUAACGUGGACCCGUGAUCCGGGUUGCGGACAGUGUCUGGUGGGUAGUUUGACUGGGGCGGUCUCCUCCUAAAGAGUAACGGAGGAGCACGAAGGUUGGCUAAUCCUGGUCGGACAUCAGGAGGUUAGUGCAAUGGCAUAAGCCAGCUUGACUGCGAGCGUGACGGCGCGAGCAGGUGCGAAAGCAGGUCAUAGUGAUCCGGUGGUUCUGAAUGGAAGGGCCAUCGCUCAACGGAUAAAAGGUACUCCGGGGAUAACAGGCUGAUACCGCCCAAGAGUUCAUAUCGACGGCGGUGUUUGGCACCUCGAUGUCGGCUCAUCACAUCCUGGGGCUGAAGUAGGUCCCAAGGGUAUGGCUGUUCGCCAUUUAAAGUGGUACGCGAGCUGGGUUUAGAACGUCGUGAGACAGUUCGGUCCCUAUCUGCCGUGGGCGCUGGAGAACUGAGGGGGGCUGCUCCUAGUACGAGAGGACCGGAGUGGACGCAUCACUGGUGUUCGGGUUGUCAUGCCAAUGGCACUGCCCGGUAGCUAAAUGCGGAAGAGAUAAGUGCUGAAAGCAUCUAAGCACGAAACUUGCCCCGAGAUGAGUUCUCCCUGAGACUUAGAGUCUCCUGAAGGAACGUUGAAGACGACGACGUUGAUAGGCCGGGUGUGUAAGCGCAGCGAUGCGUUGAGCUAACCGGUACUAAUGAACCGUGAGGCUUAACCUUACAACGCCGAAG
This 1707-nucleotide ribosomal RNA is filed under the name Salmonella enterica subsp. enterica serovar Anatum. RNAcentral's name for it is "bacterial LSU rRNA". It matches the Rfam family "Bacterial large subunit ribosomal RNA", at positions 1252 to 2925 of the family's 2925-position model. Lineage: Bacteria; Pseudomonadati; Pseudomonadota; Gammaproteobacteria; Enterobacterales; Enterobacteriaceae. The record is from RNAcentral.